UCAUGUUCUUUCACAUGUUUUACCAAAGAAAUCAUUCGGUUCGAUCGAUCACAAGCCCCUAAUGCUGAAUAGCAAAGCGACUAAACAUGCAACAAAUCACCAAACUCCAAUUUAUUAUUACACACCAAAGGCGCACAAUAGUUUAACCAAAGAACGAUACUAAAAACUCAGCCUGAUAGGUGGAUCAUCAAAGGAGAAUCAACGUAUCCAAGAGCAAGGCCAACAUAGGAGCGAUGCACCACACAAGGGACAUAGCUAGUCGAGGAAAUUCGGCCGGUGAUCCUCAUAAGAACCCCCGGACGAUGCCACCCCCACGCUGCACGGUAGGCUUCACCUGCCACCUACUCCAUGAUUUUUGCUCCUAGCGUCAACACCCUUUGAUGUCCCUCCCUUUAUCUGCAAAAUUUCCCAAUUUGUUAGCCACUGACAUAUCAACCUGAUAAAAAUAAUUAGAACAUUUAUCAGCUUGUUUUUCCAAAAACAACAACUGUUUCUGCAUCUCCAAAUUGUCCAAAAGAUAGCAGCGACACUAACUAACACCUGUUUUUUAGUUACAUCAUGUUCAAUUUUUUUUAAUCUAGUCACUACAACACAAAAUCAGAUUGGUAGGAUUGAUCUCAAAUUUAAAGCAUAUUUAAGAAAACCCCACACUAGUUUAUCCACUGAACAUCUGAAGAAAAAGUUUUUAUUGUUCUCAUCUUGACCACAAAACACACGUUUUUUGGGAUCAUCUAGCCACUUUUCAAUAAAUUGUCUCUAGUUAAUAUGCCAUUUUUUACCAUCAACCAAAAAAAAGACUUUGAUUUUUGGCGGAAUUUUAUUUUUUCUUAAAAAAUUGUGGCAAACCACAAUAUUGAACAACAAGGUGUCUAUAAAGUGAUUUAACUUUAAAAAGACCAUUUGCAAUUAACACGCACUUAAUAGAAUCCUUGUUGCGAGACAUCACAUUCCAUCACAUCUCAUUUUGAGGCCAUCCCAAAGAGUAAGAUUAUCACCUCACAAAGUUAUUAUAAAUCUAAAACCCUUCCAACUUCUCUACAAGGCAUCAACUGUAGUAAUAUUGUAAUUAGAACUCAAAUUAUACUUUAUAGCAUAAGAGAUUUUAAGAGGUUUAUAAUCCACCAACAGUCCCCGAAAAUCUAGCGUUCUUUACAUUACCCACUUUUUUGCAAUACUGGUAGAAUGUGUACUUAAUUUUCAUAAGACUGGACCAGAAAUGGGAGUGCCCAGUCUUAGGUUUAGUUCCAAAAAGGCAACCACUCCGAACAUGCUUGUUCAAGAGAAUCAAGUGCCAAAUACCAUUUUUAGUUUCUAAGUCCCAUAACUAUUUAGCAGACAAGUUUUGUUCAUGAGUUCAGGAUUUAAAUCCACAAACCCCCUUGAUCUUUAGGUCUAAAUCAAGUGUUCUAGUUUACUAAGUGUUAUUUUUUCUUAUUGUCAUCUCCCUGCCAAACAAACCUAGCCAUGAAGAAAUUGGCUCUUGGAUGGGGUAGAAACGCAUAAGUUGAAUCUCCCCCUCUACUGUUAAAUCUUCUCUCAUAGUGAUAGUUAUUAAAUCUCUCCCCUUUUGUUGAAACUACCUUGCACGCCUGCACCACCAUAAGACCUAGCCAUACCUUCUUGCUCACCAGGUGGCGACGGUAGAGCAAUAAAGCCUUACCACACAUCGCUUGCAUCCCCACCAAAUUCUCUUAGGGAGUGGACCAAAGCAUCUAAAUACCCAAAGGUAGCAGAAGGAACAUUCUCCUUAAGUGCUUUCCUACCCCACCAACCUGGACCUCCUAGAUCAAAAACAUCCAGUCCAACCACCCAGGGCCAACUACAGAAGGUUCUAUGAUAAAGGACAAAACCCUAAAACUCACCCCCUCCUUGCUCAAUAUUUAUCAUCACAACAUCAAUGUAAUCUAAGAAAUUCACCCCAGAAAACAAGCAUAUCCUUUGUAAAAUUGAAAGGAUAGCUGGGAAAUAACCAAUUCUCAUAGCCUUUUUGACUAAAUUUCGACCAGUAACAUCUAAAUUCCAUUUAAUCACUAUAUCAUCACAAAUUUUGAUAUUGUCGGUAUCAACAUCAGAAAGAUCCAAUGACAAAUCAUCCUCAUAACAAUAUUACAAUCAAAAUCAAUGACAUGAUCAACUUCCAUUGGAAAAUCCACCGAAGACUUUUAUGAGCAUGCAACUAAGAUCUCCUAACCCUAUUUCUCGCAACUACAAUCCCCCCACUGUUAGUUUGUACAUGAGAAUGUAAAUAUUUGUAGGGAUCAUCAAUCUUACUGGAAAAUGAAGCAGCAAAACGAUCGUAGGAGUCCUCGACUCCUCCUCGGCAGCAUCCAUAAUUGACUGACUGCCAGGAAGACGCCUACUCAUCGGCGGCGCUCUGUGCAAGCGCCUGGAUCCACGUAGAACACUGGGGAACCGAGGGGAGCGACGAGACAACUGUGAAACCACCCACACAACAUUUUGUCUUGGCAGCACCCGCACAUCGUCGCCAGUCACGACGGACAUCGUCGGGUAGCGUGGCGGCGACCCCAUCGUCAUUGUCACCCCCUGCACAUCAUCCCAGACCGGAUGGGAUGAAACCCAGUCGUACGACGCAUUGCGGUACCACCGAGCGCGCCGCUCUGGAUCGUUGGAUUCCGCCUCCAUCAUUGCCCAAUAGAGGAUCUCGAGUGGGGCCUUCCAUGAGAUCCAACUUUGCUCCUCCUCUGAGGCCUCUUUAACCACCUGAUGUGAUGCCUGAUGCAUCUCCUCUGCAUCCUUGUACCGCCCACAGAUCUCGUGGAGGCUCGCCAUCUUCGCCUCGUCGCCACCUGCGAUUGCCGCCGCCAUGUGCUCCCUCACACAAAAGGCCCUUCCAUUACCGAGAUCUGAGAUGGAGGUUGGAGGGGGAGAAGCAGGGGAUCGUCGACACCCUCGUGCUACGCGUGUAGAUUUAAUGCUUGCCAAAGUCAUAGGUAUUCAUUGCCCACAUCAUGGGUUCAGUGUGGGAUCAACACCAUUGAUUUUUUCGGAAAUUAUUAUGUCUAGAUCUUGGGAAAUCAUUUAUUAGGAGCCAUCCUAUCAAGAUCCCAAUGCCCAAGUUAUACUCCACUAAAACUAGAAUUGGCAUCCGUCCAUCCACGGAACAAGCACAAGCCAACAAAAUUGCACCAAACGUGACGUUGCAUCAGUUUCAGUUUCACAGAAACACCGCCGUGGAAAAGCAAAGAAAUUAUUGGUAAAAUGAGGCAAGGAUAAAGUGGUAAACAAUGUCCGGUCCAGUUCCUGUCCGCCGCCCGCCGCACCGCAAACGCACCAUCGAGCACCCAACGUGUGCCCUAGCCGCCGAACGGGUCAGACCAACAGUCACCUUGCAAGCCGACCCACUCGCAGUCGCCCCAGCACUCGCUUAUUAACCCUGUGCACACCAGAACAAAUUCGACCAUCUUUCCUCGUCGUCAACCACGUCAGGUACCUCCCUCCGAUCCGCGUCAUAAAAAGUUAAAAACCCAUCCCUCCAAACAUUUCCUAGUCCAUCCACCGGCGCUGCUGCGCUGAGCCCCGGCCACGCAUGGAGCUGUUCGCGCACGCAAAGUAAAUUCUCCUUCCAGUUUGUACAUGUACGACAACGACUAACCUCUUUUAGUUGAGGUUUUCACUGCCCAAGUUCUCUAUUUAUAACCUGAAUGGUGAGUAGGCUCUCCACCACCAUCACCAUGACCAUGCUUAUAUGAACCACAACGGCGGAUGUAGACAAGGAUGGAUGGAUGGUCAGGUGCCUUGCUAUAUUUCAUCUGUGCAAUGUGUUGUGUUGUGUGAUAUCGUGUUUCAGCCGUGGCAUGUUUUUGUCCUGCACAUGCUUUUGGCAUUGAGGUGUUGUCAUCAUUCAUGUUUCUUGUGGGUUUAGGUUUGGAUGUUCCUGUAAGAAGGAGGUUUGGCACGCCAUGUUACGUUUUUCUUUCUUUUUACAAAAGAUUGCAUGUUUUCCUAACAUAUAUGAGGUUUCUCUGGUUCAUGUGGUUUUCUCAACUGAGAGUGCUUCGUCUGCGCGCACACUUGAGCAAGUUCCAGCUAUGGAAAGGAUAUCAAUGAUUGAUGAGGAGACGUGGCAGUUGUACACGCAUAUAGUUUGAAUCAAACAUGUGGCAGAAGAUACUACCCUUCUGGAGAAAGACCGGUAUAGCGAGCCGGCCUUGAACGACGCACUGAAUCUCGCACGGACGCCAAGCUUUCUAGAAACUAGAGGUUGGGGCGCCACCUGGUGGCGCCUCUUGAGGCGGACCUGUGCGUUCCCAACGUGAUUAUGCACAUGGUUCGACCACGGACGUUAUGUACUUGAACAUCUCAUGAGCAGAUUAAAUGCCUCACAAUUUGUGUAUGCAAUCACCAGCAAGUAAAUUAGGCAAAGAAAUGCCGCAAAGGAAUUUGCUCUCAUUUUGCUUAACUAAAACACAGCCAGGUCCAGAGAUUUACAUGCUCAUAAUUUGAAGAACCUAUUAUAUAUCAUAGCCAUGGAUGAUACAUGUUGAUAGAAAAUGACAACACAAAAGCUGCACAGAUCACAGGAUACUCAAUGCUCACUCUCCACGGAUCCAAAGCGGAUGGCAAACAUCUUCUUGAACUCAAUCGGCAAAAUCCAGAGUGUGCCAUAGGCACGACCUAUCGCUCCCAGCAUGCUCCUGCAUCUUCAUCAUGGUCACAACUACACACCAACUAUCAAGAUAUAAGAAAACCCAACUAUCUAAUCUGGAAAUCAAAAUCACAUGCACAUCAUCGUAAGAACUAAAUGCCGUGAUAGUUUGAAUUUUCAUUUUUAGCAGGGAAUGGUAGUUCUGAAUGCUUUGUGUAUUCUUAAACAGGAGGGUAACAAACACUCUUUAUUCUACCAACAGGGACUGGAUCCAGGUCAGCUGGGAGUGCCUGAUACACAUCAUAUUCUUGAGCUAAAGCUUGAUUCUCAGUAGAACUGUAUCUCCAGAAUUCAGCAAAAGAAGUUGAUGCAAACUUAGAAUGCAUAACUCAAUUGUUUCUGAUCCAGUAGCAAUGUACCCAUCAGAAAUAGGAAGUCCAACAAAUCUUUGGUCAAAGGGAAUACAUAAAUUAGUCACUAAAUUAGCCCCAGUCACACCCCCUCGGCAUGAUUGUGCACACUAAACUUGUUGUAGUAUAUGUUCACAUCUUUGAAUGACAGGUUGGUUGGCUUAUGGAGCAGAUGAGCAAGAGUGGCAUUUUACUGAUUAAAAAAAGAACACAUAGUCAUAGACCCGCAGUAGAGGAAUGUUCAUUCAUAAAGCAAGGAAGCUUAGUAGUUUCAUAUGAAGCAGAUCAAGCGUAGUAGUUUCAUAGAUGCUAACGGGUUAAUAUUAACAGACAAAGGUCGGUCUUACAAGCUGAAUGACAUAUCACCAAGACAUGACCAACGGUUGAGAUCAAGGUUUAACAAUCUCUAAAAGGUGUGAGGUCUCCAAAAGUAGAGGCGGAGUUUGUCUGAUAGUAUUAUGGUGUGUGGACAAGAGGUUCAAAGAUCAGAACUCAAAUAUCCAGGAGCAUGAGUCCGAGAGGAAAAGCUUUGGGCCAGCCAUCUAAAUUUUGAUGUACUGACAAUUGACAACCAUACACUAAUUCUAGUUGAAUGUGUUUCCUUUCUGCAUAGACUGAAGGAAAUAAAGAAGACAUACAUUAGAGAAUGUAAGGGGAGAACAAUUUGCAAACUAAGAACAACUCAAACUCUGAAACUUUAGUUAGCUGAGUAAUAAGGUAUAACAUCAUAGAUUGCUUAUCCCUGAUUAUGCCCUUACUAAACGUUUGGUACAGGACAACGCUUACCAGCAGAAGAUAAAUCAAAUCAAUGUUUUAUGACCUAAUUACUCACACAGUGUAACUUUCAUAUGUCAAAGAACAAAUAUAGAAAUCUAAAAUCUUGCACAAUAAUCAUUCAUGACGAUUAGCACAAACCUAAGUAUUUAGUGCUUUAUAUGGGCCUGGCCUUUGCCUCCCAUUUUCCCUAUGUCCCAAGGUUGUCUAUUAUCUCAGGCUGUAGGUGGGACUAGCGGUGGGCGUCCCACCACAAGCCCACAGUAUAGUUUGAUUGGAAAUAGUGGGCAUCCCAUCUAAACUUGCAUAAAUUAUGUUGGGAGAAUGCAACUUACACUGUGAACACGGUUGUAGUCAAGCUACAGAUUGCAGCUUACAGCUGCAGGUUACAAGUUAUACAUGCUACAACACUCAAGUAUAAUCAUCAGAAAAUAUCAUUGCAAACUGUACAUGCUUCAUGCAUCCAGAUUGUAGCAGUACUUGCUUCACAAAUGAACAACACUUGCUUCCNNNNNNNNNNNNNNNNNNNNNNNNNNNNNNNNNNNNNNNNNNNNNNNNNNNNNNNNNNNNNNNNNNNNNNNNNNNNNNNNNNNNNNNNNNNNNNNNNNNNNNNNNNNNNNNNNNNNNNNNNNNNNNNNNNNNNNNNNNNNNNNNNNNNNNNNNNNNNNNNNNNNNNNNNNNNNNNNNNNNNNNNNNNNNNNNNNNNNNNNNNNNNNNNNNNNNNNNNNNNNNNNNNNNNNNNNNNNNNNNNNNNNNNNNNNNNNNNNNNNNNNNNNNNNNNNNNNNNNNNNNNNNNNNNNNNNNNNNNNNNNNNNNNNNNNNNNNNNNNNNNNNNNNNNNNNNNNNNNNNNNNNNNNNNNNNNNNNNNNNNNNNNNNNNNNNNNNNNCAUAACUUUAUUAAGUAAACAUGAGUUCAUUCAGCACAUGCAUGUUGUUUCUGCUAGAAUGUCUUCUAAAUAAGUAACAUUAACAUGACCAAGGUCACUACUAAAUAAGUCACAUUAACAGGACUAUGGUAACUACUAAAUGAGUGACAUUAACAGGACGAAAGUCGUGCGCGGGUAGUGGAGAUCUGGCCGGGGCACCGGAGCAGCAGCAGUCGCAGGAGGAUCACUCACUAGAGCAGCAGCAGCAGUAGGCACCCGCUGCACAGGCGCCGGUGGUAGUACCACAGCCGUAUCCAUAGGUGCCGCCGGUCUUUAUCGACCUCACCCAGGAGGACAAUGGCGACAGCGACGGCGGCCACUAGAUCUAGGCUUUAUUUAUGUUUUUAUGUAUAAUUAAUGGACGAACAGACUUUUGGCGGCAUUUUAUAUAUGUUUUUAUUUUCUAAAUUUCAGUCAAAAUCUGAAAUGCGUCCAUGUAAUUGAGGGCACCUAGGGUCAAAAACUUGUAGAAGACAUUAUUAGAUGAUCUAAAUUUCAAGGAGGUUAUAUGGAUCAUCUAAAUCAGUUGUGAAAGUAAAUAACACUCAUAGAACACAUUAUUAGAACCUGCUUUGCUUUAUUGGGUACGAGAACAUUGUUGAAACAACCCAUUUAAGCUAACCUAAUCUACCCUGUAGAAACAUUCAUCAAUGUUGAGUUUUUAUGUCAAGAAUAAAAAUAAAUCCAUAUGAAGCUUUCUACAAUAUAGACUGUCUAUAUUCAGUAAGGGCCACAUUCAUAAGCAUGCCGAAAAAUGGUAAGAUCUAACAUGAUAUACACCAGGAUAGGAUGAUCAUAUUCUUCUACCACCACACAUUUUUUAUACUGAGAUACCAAUGUUUACUCAUACAGAACAUGUACUUUUCUGUUCAUUGUCAAAUUAUUUCACCUGCUAUGCUGCAAGUGUACUGAAAUAGCAAAAUUGUCGGUUUCAGUUGAGCACCUACGAGGCUUACUUCCUAUCACAUCGUGAAAACUGUACAUUAGAAUAUGAAAUUAGUUUUGGUAGAAAAAGGAGACACAAAUUAUUCACACAUUUUGCAAUAGUAAGCAAGUUGAAAAACAUAAUACUACAAAGAGCAUAGAAAUAUGCGUGUGCAUAUUACGAAAUUGAGGAAUAUCAUGCUGAACCUUUGAUUCAUCAAACUGUUGGAAACCUCAGUCCAGUCCUUAAACUAAGUACCCAUGAGACAUCAGAAAGGAACCAAACCAGGAAGAGCGCGCACUUCCGGGGAUGCGCGGUUGGUGCCGUGACAACGAGGCGAGGCACGAGGAGGCUGCGAGGGAGGCUAUUGCUGCGGCCGCGGGCGCAACGACCGGUGUCGGUGUCAAAACCAGCGGAUUUCGGGUAGGGAGUCCCGAACUGUGCGUCAAGGCCGGAUGGUAACAUGAGACAAGGGACACGAUGUUUUUACCCAGGUCCGGGCCCUCUCGAUGGAGGUAAUACCCUACUCCUGCUUGAUUAAUAUUGAUGAUAUGGGUAGUACAAGAGUAGAUCUACCACGAGAUCAAGGAGGCUAAACCCUAGAAGCUAGCCUAUGGUAUGAUUGUUGUAUAUGGAGUCGAUGUCCUACGGACUACAACCCUCCGGUUUAUAUAGACACCGGAUAGGGUUAGGGUUACACAGAGUCGGUUACAAUGGUAGGAGAUCUUGAAUAUCCGCAUCGCCAAGCUUGCCUUCCACGCCAAGGAAAGUCCCAUCUGGACAAGGGACGAAGUCUUCAAUCUUGUAUCUUCAUAGUCCUGGAGUCCGGCUAAAGGUAUAGUCCGACUACCCGAACACCCCCUAAUCCAGGACUCCCUCAGUAGCCCCCGAACCAGGCUUCAAUGACGACGAGUCCGGCGCACAGAUUGUCCGGCAUUGCAAGGCGGGUUCUUCUCCAAAUCCUGUGUACCUGUAGGAAUAAUGUCCGAUUUUUGUAAUGUAGUGCUCCUCGGCUUCCACGCCCAAUAAUGGCCGUCUUCCAUGUGUCAAACGAAUGCGAAAAGCCGGGGUGUUUUUACAUCCACACCCCUAGCCGCAUAAACGAGCCGCCUAUUUAACGGGAUGGGGAUUUAGGUCCAAACCACAUCUUCUCCUCUCCGCGAGUUAUCAUCAGAGCGCUUCCAGCAAAGGUCCAUUCCAACAUGACCAGCCGCCGCAGCUCCUCCCCUCGCCCCUCCAGUCCCAAACCCGGGGACUGGUAGAGUUGCACCAUCCCGCAUAGCGAGCUAGUGUCGCUUCAGGCCAAGGGAUUUCUCCCUCAGGCAUACAUGGUCCCGGUCCGAGACGGUCUCGCCACCUACAAUGGCAAAAACAAGCGGAGAGCACCCCCAAUCCUUCUAAAGGAGAGCGGGUGUGCCUCGUCCCCUAUCUAAUAAGGGGACUAGAAUUUCCAAUUCAUCCAUUUCUCCGCGGGUUUCUGGAGUUCUACGGCCUCCAGCUGCACAAUCUCACGCCCGCCUCCAUAUUACAUACUGCGGGUUUCGUCGCCCUUUGUGAGCUAUUUUUAGGCGUUGAGGCUCAUUUCGCGCUGUGGAAGAGGUUAUUCUGCCUGGUGCCCCAUUCUCAAGAGGGGUCUAUAUACCAAGUGGGCGGAGCCGAAGUAUGGCGUAUCGCCGGGACCGGAUACCUAUCUAGAACCCCAAAGAAGGCAUCCGAGGACUGGCCUUCGGAAUGGUUUUACAUAGAUGACGUCCCGCUACCGGACCCUAUCCGGAUCGGUCUCCCUGAGUUCAACAGUGCUCCAUUGAAGAAACGCUUGAGCUGGCGUUCGCGGAGCUCUCAGAGAGAAAACGACAGAGACGUCCUUUACCUGAUGGGCCGGAUAAGACUGUUGGCUCAUUCCGGACUAACCAUGAUUGAAGUCAUGACCGCAUGCAUUAUGCGGGGGGUGCAGCCGCUUCAAUAUAGAGGCCACCCCAUGUGGGAUUUCCACGGGGAGGAUGACGCCACCCGUUACGGUCGUAAGGGGACGGCCUCAGCCGCCGCCCUAGUAAAGAUCUUAUCCUCUUUGUACAAGGGAGAAAAGGAGGAAUUCCUCCGCGUCAACCCGCGGGCCGGAUUUACUAUGUACGAUCCUCCAAGUUGGGUAAGUGAACAAUUGCGCUUGCCCGUUUGUUUUAUACUCCCACGGUUAGAUAUGUAGUCUAACGACUUCAAUGCAGGAACUGCGACAGGAGGUAAAUGAUAUAAACAGCCGCCCUCCACAGCCCGAGGACCCAGAACGGUCCCUCGAUCCGGACUCCGAAGAGGAUCCGGACAUAUCGGUGGAGCUUAUCGACGGGGUGUUCCAUCAGCUAAGCAAGGACAGUACCUUGAUAGCCAUUACGGCUGAUUACCCAGGGUUAAUCCCGGCCUCCCAGGUGACAGAAACCGGAGUCUCAUUCCCUUGAGAGAGAUUCCAUUCUCACGUAUUCCGGUGUUUCUGACGACAACCGUGUUUUGCAGGGGAGAUUUCCGAGGCGGGAAGCCGAACCUGCAGCGGCUAGCCAACGAGGGGCCGCAGGGCCCCGUGGGGCAAAAAGGAAUGUAGUCCGGACUAAGAUGCCAGCGCAAAGGUAUAGCGCACCCUCUGUUUCCCUGGUGUUACUCUGUCAGGGCAUAUUAACGUUCGUGCUAUCUUCAGAACGAAGAGACCUCGCCGGACUACAUUCGGAGAGGUUUCCAAUCGCGCCUCCACUAGCCAGGCUCCAACGUCUGGCCAGGAAGCGGAGGCGAGCACAAGGCGCGCACCAGACGCUCCUCCGACAGAGGAUGCGGACAGGCUGUCUACCACAAAUUCUGAAGUGGAGAGUGCCAUGAACCACAGGCGUCACCGGACAGUUCUACGCGACGCUUGUUUCUCCCAAGAGGCUUUAGAUGCCUUUAAUUUGGGAGAUGCGUACCUCCGUGCCGCUCAAAAUGGUUUAGCCAGAGCCACGGAGCAGUAUGUAAAAGACAUACGGGUAAGAAAUUUUUGGUCAAAUAUAUAUAUAUAUAUAUAUAUAUAUAUAUAUAUAUAUAUAUAUAUAUAUAUAUAUAUACCAGUAGCCCCCGAGACUUGAAACAGUUAGAGCAACUGAUUUAAGGAUCAUUUAAUAUGUAGGUUCUUACAGAGAAGAAUACCGUACUGUCCCAGGAACUGGAAAAGUGCAAGGCCCAACUAGAGGCCACACUAGCCGCAUCAGGGGAGCCCAAAGAGACCCCCUCAGGUAAGAUACACUUUGAAAGAUUAGUAUUGUGCGGUGUGGGUGCAAAUCUGACAAAUCAUAUUGCAGAUGGCGCCAGACUCGAUCCGGAAAAGCAACAACUCUUACGCCGGCUAAAGGCCGAUGAGAGUACGUUGACAAAGGUGAGGCGAGAGAAGAAUGAUCUUCAGGAUGCCAACACCAAGCUGGACGUCGAACUUAAAGAUGUUCGUGGCCAGCUGUCGGACUCCACGAAGGAGAAUCAGCGGCUUCGACGCGGCAUAUUUAGUAAGUGCUUGAGCGAACUUUGAAAAAAGAGUUCGGCGAGGAAGUCGACUAACAGAGUAAUGUUUGUAGGUAUGCUCACAGGUCGUCCUACAGAGGAGAUGCCCGGUUCUAUGGGUGACCUUCUUCCCGAACUCUUGCAACUGCACGAGCGAAUUCGGCAGGCGAUGCGAGGCGUUGCCCAAGCCUUAUGGCCUGCCCACUCCAUGCCCGAGGGCCUUGGAGAGCUUGUGGAGAAGCUGAAGGGAGCUCGGCGGCGCUUCCGGUCGUGGAAGAUAUCGGCCUGCUGACAAGGCGCUAGGGAGGCCUGGGCCAUGGUGAAGACCCAUUUUACAAAGUCUGACCCAAACCACAUGGCCGAGGUCGGACCAGUGGGGCCUGACGGGAAGGAGAUCCCUGUAAGCUUAGUAUACGGCCAAGUAGAGUUGGCCGCGAAGUAUUCCCAGCAGGACUGUAAAUUAGACAGCCUGUUAGAUGGUAUAGAAGAGGAAUACAAUUAGUCAGAAUGACUAUGUAAUUUUGAAUUGACAUGUGUAAUGCCUUCUAGCCGGAUUGUAGAUCGUUUGUCGUUGCCGACCUUUUCGCUUCAACCUCGGGACCUGACGGUCCGGAGUGUGUCCGAAUACCAUAGCGGUUAUAUAAGAACCGGGGUAUGCGUGGAGACCAGGCGUAGGGGUCAUUAGUGCUUUAUCAGACAAGUGCCUAACUAGUUAUGUUAUAUUACAUGGUUAGUAAGAAACAUCUUCCAGAGAGAAUAGUUCCGUUAGGGGUUCCUUUCGCUGGGAGGCAUGCCCUAAAGUGCAUGUCCGGACUGCGUGACAAGACGCAGAAAAAAGCAUCCGGGGGCGCAUAAAAUGAGUAAAAAGAUCAUCUUUUAUUUCACCAACCGAAUAUUCCCUUAAAAACGCUAGCUUUCGGCUUCACCCAGUCUGAGGUACACAUCCGGCUGACCCGACAGUAACAAUCGCAGAGGUGCUCCCUUUACCGCCUAGCUGAACAAUUGGGAACGUAGGGGUAAGCACAGGAGCCAGGCAACCUAGCUUGGCCAAAACUUAAGUCAUAUCGAUGCAUAUAAUGGUGAAGAAAAAGGUACAUGCGGAAGUUUGACGCAUGUGUUGGGCGUGAAGCCCCCAGGUUUAAUGAGCGCGAGUGGCGCGUCACUAGAUGAGCCUUUAAGGGCUAUAAAAGAAAAGAGGGGAAGGAGAGAAAUGUAAGACAGAAAAAUGCAAAAAAUGGACAGAGGAAGGAGACGAACACAGAGUCCGGCGCUAGGCAUAGAAUCUUCGGAGACGGGUGGCGUUCCACGGGUUCGGCUUGAGUCGGUUAUCCGACGCAUCUCGCAGGCGGUACGCCCCACCAGUCAGGACUUGGUCGAUUAUGAAUGGACCUUCCCACUUGGGCAUGAGUUUGUCCUUUUUCUUAUCCGACAGGCAUAGAACUAGUUCGCCAACAUUGUAAUUUUUGGCCCGUACUUCUCUGCUUUGAUAUCUUCGGGCCUGCUGUUGAUAAAAUGCGGAACGGGUUUUUGCCACAUCACGCUCCUCCUCCAAGGCGUCCAAGUUGUCCUGCCGAUCGAGCUCGGCUUCUCUUUCUUCGUACAUGCGCACUCUAGGUGAGUCAUGAAUUAUGUCGCAGGGCAGAACUGCCUCUGCGCCGUACACCAUAAAAAAUGGCGUGUAUCCGGUGGUGCGAUUUGGCGUAGUCCGAAGCCCCCCAAAACACGGAGUCGAGCUCCUCUACCCAGUGCGUGUUAGAUUCCUUGAGGGGCCGCACCAGUCUGGGUUUAAUGCCGCUCAUGAUAAGACCAUUUGCACGUUCGACCUGGCCGUUGGUUUGUGGGUGAUAGACGGAAGCAUAAUCGAGCUUGAUGCCCAUGUUUUUGCACCAGAGUUUUACCUCGUCGGCGGUAAAGUUUGUACCAUUAUCGCUUAUGAUGCUGUGGGGGACGCCAUAACGGUGUACAACCCCGGAUAUGAAGUCUAUCACAGGUCCGGAUUCGGCCGUUUUAAAAGGCUUGGCUUCUAUCCAUUUGGUGAACUUAUCCACCAUGACCAGUAAGUAUUUUUUCCUAUGGGUCCCACCUUUAAGGGGUCCGACCAUGUCAAGCCCCCAGACCGCAAAAGGCCAGGUGAUGGGUAUAGUUUGGAGUGCGGUGGGUGGCAUAUGGCUUUGGUUGGCAAAAAGUUGGCAACCAGCGCAUCGUUGGACUAGGUCCUGAGCGUCUGCCCGGGCCGUCGGCCAAUAAAAUCCUGUACGGAAAGCCUUGCUAAUAAGGGACCGAGUAGCGGCGUGGUGACCACCGAGUCCGGCAUGAAUUUCAGCUAGAAGGUUCCGCCCUUCCUCUUCGGAGAUGCACCUUUGAAGGACUCCGGUAGUGCUUUUCUUAUAAAGCUCUCCCUCAUGGACUCUAUAGGCUUUAGAUCGCCGCACUAUGCAGCGGGCCUCGUUUUGGUCCUCUGGGAGUUCCUGCCUAGUAAGGUAGGCUAGGAAUGGUUCUGUCCACGGGGCGAUAACCGCCAUUAUUACGUGGGCUGAAGGUGUAAUUUCAUUGGCAGAGCCUCCAAUUAUGUCAGAUUGUUCGGCGUCGAGUGGUGCGGCUGGGUUUGGGCUGUUAUUUGCGGGUUCCCCCUCCCAUGCUACGGAUGGCUUGGACAAUCUUUCCAAAAAGAUGUUGGGGGGGACUGCAUCGCGUUUUGCUCCGAUGCGUGCCAGGACGUCCGCUGCUUGAUUGUUUUCUUGGGCUAUAUGGUGAAACUCCAGCCCUUCGAACCGAGCUGACAUUUUUAGGACGGCGUUGCGGUAAGCUGCCAUUUUUGGGUCCUUGGCGUCGAAGUCUCCAUUUAUUUGGGAUAUCGCGAGGUUUGAAUCCCCGUGUACCUCUAGGCGCCGGAUACCCAUGGAUACUGCUAUCCGGAGACCAUGUAGGAGGGCCUCAUAUUCAGUUGCAUUGUUGGAAUCCGUGUACAUGAUCUGGAGCACAUAUUGGACUGUGUCUCCUGAGGGGGACGUCAGGACGACGCCAGCCCCCAGUCCGACCAACAUUUUGGAGCCGUCGAAAUGCAUAAUCCAGUUUGAAUAUGUGCCGUACUCUUUAGGGAGCUCGGCCUCCGUCCAUUCUGCGACGAAGUCGGCCAAAACUUGCGAUUUAAUAGCUCGCCGUGGCUUAUAGGUUAUAUCAAACGGGAGAAGCUCGAUGGCCCAUUUUGCAAUCCGACCCGUUGCAUCGCGGUUGUUGAUAAUAUCAUUGAGUGGUACUCCCGAGGCUACUGUUAUGGAACACUCUUGAAAGUAGUGUCGUAGCUUCCGGGAUGCCAUGAAUACCGUGUAUGAAUUCUUUUGGUAAUGCGGGUACCGUGAUUUGCAUGGAGUGAGGACAGUGGACAUGUAGUAGACCGGCCUUUGAAGGGGGAAUUUGUGUCCAUCCGUUUCCCGCUCGACAACGAGCACUGCGCUGACCACUUGAUGUGUUGCUGCAAUGUACAAUAACAUUGGUUCGCCGGUGUUCGGCGCGGCCAGGACUGGGUUUGUUGCCAAUAUGGCUUUUAUUUCAUCAAGUCCGGCCAUGGCGGCAUCCGUCCACUCGAAGUGUUCGGUGCGCCGAAGGAGGCGAUAGAGGGGUAGUGCCUUUUCUCCCAAGCGGGAGAUGAAGCGGCUUAAAGCUGCCACGCAUCCGGUUAAUUUUUGUAUUUGUUUGAGGUCCUUUGGGAUAUCCAAUUGUGACAAAGCUCGGAUCUUGGCUGGAUUUGCUUCAAUUCCUCUACCGGAUACAAUGAAGCCCAAGAGCUUUCCGGCUGGGACGCCGAAGACGCAUUUUUCCGGGUUGAGCUUGAUGUCAUAUUUUCGGAGGUUAUCGAAUGUAAGCGUCAAGUCGUCUACUAGAGAUUCGACAUGUCUUGAUUUGAUGACCACAUCAUCCACAUAUGCCUCCACUGUUUUCCCGAUCUGGUUUGCCAGACAUGUCUGGAUCAUGCGCUGAUAUGUUGCGCCGGCGUUUUUCAGCCCGAAGGGCAUUGUGUUGAAGCAGAAUGGGCCGUAUGGUGUGAUGAAUGUUGUUGCGGCUUGGUCUGAUUCUGCCAUCUUGAUUUGAUGGUAACCGGAGUAUGCGUCGAGGAAACACAAUGAAUCGUGUCCUGCGGUGGCAUCGAUAAUUUGAUCGAUACGGGGGAGGGGGAAGGGAUCCUUUGGGCAAGCCUUGGUAAGGUCUUUAAAAUCGACACACAGGCGCUAGGAUUUGUCCUUCUUUGGUACCAUCACCAGGUUUGCUAGCCAGUCUGGAUGUUUUAUGUCUCUAAUGAAUUCAGCCUCCAAUAGCUUGGCUAACUCCUCUCCCAUAGCCUGUCUCUUGGGUUCGGAAAAACGCCGAAGGGCUUGUUUGACAGGUUUGAAACCUUUUGGGAUAUUUAAGUUGUGUUCGGCCAGCCUGCAUGGGAUCCCUGGCAUGUCUGAAGGGUGCCAGGCGAAAAUGUCCCAGUUCUCUUGUAGGAACUCUCGCAGUGCGGUGUCUAUAUCAGGGUUCAGUCAUGCCCCGAUGGAAGCUAUUUUAUUGGGGUCCGUUGGAUGGACCUGGAAUCUGACUAUUUCGUCAGCUGGCUUCAAGGAUGUGGAUUUGGAUCUCUUGUCGAGUAUCACAUCAUCCCUGUUAACCGUGGAGCGCAGCGCAGUCAGUUCCUCGGCCGCUAAGGCUCCGGAUAGUGCCUCAAGGGCUAAUGCGGUCGUCUUGUUUUCGGCGCGGAGUGCUAUGUCUGGAUCACUAGCUAGAGUGAUAAUUCCGUUCGGCCCGGGCAUCUUAAGCUUCAUGUACCCGUAAUGGGGUAUUGCUUGGAAGAUUGUGAAUGCUUCCUGCCCUAGUAAAGCGUGAUAUCCGCUUUUGAACGGGGCCACCUGAAACGUAACUUCUUCGGACCUGUAAUUAUCCGGCGUGCCGAACACCACAUCUAGUGUGAUUUUUCCUGUGCAGCGCGCUUCCUGACUGGGGAUUAUUCCUCUAAAGGUUGUGCUGCUUCGCUCGAUGCAGUUCCAGUCUAUUUCCAUUUUUUGAAGGGUUUCCUCAUAAAUGAGGUUCAAUCCACUGCCUCCAUCCAUGAGCACCUUGGUGAGGCGAAAGCCGUCCACUAUGGGACUGAGGACCAAUGCGGCUGGUGCUCGGGCUGUUCGGAAUCUAGGUUCAUCACUUGCGUUGAAGGUAAUAGAGUGUCGCUCCAUGGAUUUAUUGUUGCAACUUGAUAGACUUCGGUGAGGCUGCGGAGUGUUCUUUUUUGCAUAUUGUUUGAUGUGAAAGUCUCGAAGACUGUGAGAACGGUACUGGUGUCCUCGGGCUGGCUUUCUGCAGCCUCCAGAAUUAAGAGGUCCUCGCUAAUUUUGGCCACCUGCCGGAGUAUCCAACAUGCUCUAAGGCUGUGAGUUGGUGUGGCGUCCUCUGUACUGUGAAUUCUACAGGGUCCAUCAAGCCACCUUUCCAGUACGGUUCCAUGCCUUGUAGAGGGUUUUGGCUUUUUGGUGUUUAUCCCGGGUGUCCUAUGAUGAUGCACCCUCUUAGUUCGGACGGGAUUACUAUUCAAGGCCGGAUUAUCCCAAAAUUUUAUUUCGGUUUCCAGGAGCUUUCCAUCGCACAGUAUUUUUGUACUAUGGACGCCAAGUCAGCAAAGCGUGUAAUAUCACGACAACUUACGGUGUUAAGGAUUCCCUCGUCUGUGCAAUUACUGCAGAAAAUUGAGAUUGCGUCUCCCUCGCGGAAAUCCUUUAUCCUGUUCAUAACCAGGAGGAAUCUGGCCCAGUAAUGAUGUACUGUUUCCUCGGGCCUCUGCCUGAUUUGGGAGAGAUCGCUUAUGUUCGGGUGGGCGGGUGUCAUUGAAUCUGAAACCCCACCCAAUCCAAGAUUCGGAGGCCGAAGAGUUUCCGAACUCUGAAGUUUGGAUUCUUGGAUGUUGUCCAAUGAAUCUAGCCUGUUGCCUGAUCCUAAGCUCAGGCCUUGAGUUACAUCCUCCCCUCCGCGGGUAUCCGGCUUCGAGGGGUCGGGAAUUCGGACGUAGCUAGUCCUUAAAAUAUAUGAAGGGUUGCCGCACUGCGCCUCUACCACGGCAACGUGGUGGGUGACUUGGGGAGAGUUAAUUUCUCUUAGAUCGAGUUUAAGCCCAACCUGGUCGUAAUCCGCAGCGACCCCCGGGGCGGCGAUGCGAUCCAAGAGCUCGUUUAUGAAAGAGAGCUCCAUUGGAUCUAGCUGCUCGACGAGCUCCGAGCUGACGUGUAGGUUGCUUUUGAUGACCCAAGAGGUCACCAUCGGCGCAACAGCCGAAUAGGCGGUCAUGAGGAAACCACCUAGCCGGAGAGUUUGGCCCACAGCCAAGGCUCCCUUAGCAACGGCGCCAUCUUUAAAGACGGGAGGAGGCAUCCUUCCUGAUUGCGACGGCACAGAGGAACUCUCAAUGAAAGCACCAAUGUCGGUGUCAAAACCGGCAGAUCUCGGGUAGGGGGUCCCGAACUGUGCGUCAAGGCCGGAUGGUAACAGGAGACAAGGGACACGAUGUUUUUACCCAGGUUCGGGCCCUCUCGAUGGAGGUAAUACCCUACUCCUGCUUGAUUAAUAUUGAUGAUAUGGGUAGUACAAGAGUAGAUCUACCACGAGAUCAAGGAGACUAAACCCUAGAAGCUAUCCUAUGGUAUGAUUGUUGUAUAUGGAGUCGAUGUCCUACGGACUACAACCCUCCGGUUUAUAUAGACACCGGAUAGGGUUAGGGUUACACAGAGUCGGUUACAAUGGUAGGAGAUCUUGAAUAUCUGCAUCGUCAAGCUUGCCUUCCAUGCCAAGGAAAGUCCCAUCCGGACACGGGACGAAGUCUUCAAUCUUGUAUCUUCAUAGUCCUGGAGUCCGGCUGAAGGUAUAGUCCGGCUACCCGAACACCCCCUAAUCAAGGACUCCCUCAACCGGCGAGGACGGGUACGUGUGGAUCCCGAACGUGCACCACACCGUCGCUCGCCAAGCAAAGGGCAUGGUUGGGGCUGCGUCUCGAAUAGAGAUGUUCACCUUCCAUUCCGUCGGCAUCAAGCCGCAGAGAGAGAGCUCCUCACACAACUUGACCCUGCAUCGCUAUUCUCGCGCUGCCGUGGCCAUGGAUCUGGCCGGACCUGUUGCUUGAUCUCAGGCAAGGGGGAGGGGAGGAGGUCUCCGGUGGUGGGGAGAAGGCGAGGGGGGGAGAGAAGGGGUGGGGUGUAGGCCGUGGGGGACGGCGACAGCUGGAGGGAGAGGAGUCAACAGGCUAGGGUUGGCUGAUGCGUUUCUCUCCUUUUCUCUCUUUGUUCUACAUCACGUACGAACCAAUCGCAACUUGACGCAAAGGUGCCACGUGGACCGUGCGAGCGGACGCUCCUUCCGCGCACGUUAAUGCUUCUCGAUGGGUGAGGAAAAAAUCUGACACGGAUCCUGGUGCACAUACGAGCUUGAGUGCGCGGCUACAUGCAUGCGACGAGGCCGGCUGGAUUCGGCAUGACUGAGUCGACCCAUCGAUCGGAGAGAGUCCAGCCCAGGUGAGAACAAACCUCUGGACAAGUGAGUCGAUACCUCAUCUCCAUUUGGUGAAAGACACCGCACAACUUCAUGAUGGAGUUGCAAAUGGUGUACCACCGAUGAGUUAGCGACUUAAUACAUCUCCGACAUAUCUAUAAUUUUUUAUUGUUUCAUGUUAUUAAAUUAGCAAUCUUGGAUGCUUUCUACGCAUUUAUAUUCUAUUUUAUAUUAUUUUUUGGGACUAGCAUAUUAACCCAGUGCCCAAUGCCAGUUACUAUCUUUUGCUUGUUUUUGGCUUCUCGAAAAAUCAUUACCAGCGAGGUCCAAACGCGAUGAAACUUUACGAUGGUUUUUUCUGGACCAGAAGGGACCCUAUAACGUUCGGGAGGAUGCCAAAAGAGCUACGGGAGAGCCACAAGCUCACAGGGCGUGCCCCAGGGGGGUAGGCGCGCUCCCAAUCUUGUGGGCCCCCCGUAGCACCCCUUAACAUAAUUCCACCUCUAUAAAUUCAGAAAUAUUCCCAAACCAAUAGAGAGCCACCCGAAACACUUUUUCCGCUGCCGCAAGCUUCUGUUCUUCUGCGAUCCCAUCUGCAAGCCUUUUCCGAUACUCUGCCAGAGGGGGAAUGGAUCACGGAGGGCUUCUACAUCAUCCUUGCUGCCUUCCGAAGAUGCAUGAGUAGUUCAUCAUAUACCUACAUGUCCAUAGCUAGUAGCUAUAUGACUUCUUCUCUCUCUCUCUCUGUUCUUCAAUAUAAUGUUCUCCUCGAUCUUUUUGGAGUUCUAUAUGAUGUAAUCUUCUUUUGCGGUGUGUUUGUUGGGAUCCAAUGAAUUGUGGGUUUAUAAUCUGAAUAUUCAUGAGAAGUAAUUGAGUCUUUUUCGAACUUUUUUAUGCAUGAUUGUUAUACCUUUAUGUUUCUCUCUGAUCUAUCCCUUUGGUUUGGCCAAUUAGAUUGAUUUAUCUUUAGUGGGAGAGGUGCGUUGUAAUGGGUUCAAUCUUGCAGUGCUCUAUAUCCCGGUGACAGAAGGGGACAAGACAUGAAUUUGUAUUAUUGCCACUAAGGAUAAAACGACGGGGUUUAUUCAUAUUAAUUGGAUUUACUUUGUCUACAUUAUGUCAUCUUGUUUAAGGCGUUACUCCGUUUUAUGAACUUAAUACCAUAGAUGCAUGCUGGAUAGCGGUUAAUUGGUGGGGUAAUAGUAGUACAUGCAGGCAGGAGUCGGUCUACUUGUCAGGGAUGUGAUGCCUAUAUACAUAAUCAUUGUCUUGAAUAUUGUCAUAACUAUGCGCUUUUCUAUCAAUUGCCCAACACUAAUUUGUUUACCCACCGUAUGCUAUGUGUUCGAGAGAGAAUCUUCUAGUGAAAACUAUGGCCCCUGGGUCUGCUUUAAUCAUAUUUAAAAGAAAUCCAAAAUACCUUUGCUGCAAUUUUAUUUCUUUUAUUUUUGUUUUGCAAUUUAUUUAUCUACCAGUACAAUAUUUUAUCCUUGCAAGUAACGAGUUCAAGGUGAUUGACAACCCUCUUGCCGGUGUUGAGUGCAAGUAUUUGCUUUUGUGUGUGAAGGUGAUGUUCAUGAGGCUUUGCGUGAUUCUCCUAUUGCUUCGAUAAACGUUGGUUCUUGCUGAGGAAAAUACUUAUCUCUACUGUACUGCAUCUCCCUUAUCUUCGGGGAAAAUCCCAAUGCAGCUCACAAGUAGAAGGAAUAAUUUCUGGCACCGUUGUCCAGGAGACAUCAUCAAAAACUAUCAAGUACCUUCGCACAAACUAUCUUCUACUUGCUCUACUUUUUAUUUGCCUUUGCCUCUUGUUUUCAUCACCUCCACUUCUCUAAAAAACAAAAACACUUUGUUUUACUAGUUUUCUUGCAAAAAUCAUGUCAACACACCAAAACAGAAAGGAAAAGUAAAGACAUAGGGAUCCUUAUCCACUUGCUAAUCUUUUCAAACUUGCUGCAUGUUGAAAACCAAUAGCUAAAAAUGAAGAAGUGAUAAAAGAAAAUGCUAUCGAGAUACAUUUAUUGAAUGAAAAGCAUGAUUGCAAUUGCGUUAGUGUACAUUUUAUUAAUGUCAAUUAUGCUAAUAAUCAUGAUUUGAGUGAUAAUUAUGAUGUUUCUUACUAAGGAUGGCAAUUUUACCCAUGGGUAUGGGUACCCACGGAUACCGCACCCGCAUGGGCAGGGUAUGGGCACAAAUUUAUAUCCAUGGUAGUACCCGUACCCUACCCGUUAAGUCAUGGAUAGGGCACGGGUAUAGCCUUGUACCCAUGGAUAUACCCAUAUCCUACCUGUUUAUACUAACAUGUGGACCUUACCCGUGAAGUGUGUCGUGAGAUUGUGAGCCUUUGUUAAAGUUGUCACCAAUUGUCAAUUUGAAUUGAGAUAAUUGUCAUGUACUCAUCUAUCUGUAAUUGUGUUGAGAUAAAUAUUUUUUGUCAAAUGUGCUAUCGAUGAAUGUACAAUUGUGAAUAACUUGUGUACUGUUUGAUCUACCCAUUGGGUACACAAUGGGUGUGGGUACCCAUCGGAUAUGGGUACAGAUAAAGUUUCAUACCCAUGGGUACGGGUAUGGGUAGAAUUUUUUACCCAUUUUACUACAUGGGUAUGGGUAUGGUAUUUCUCUACCCGCUCCAUAACCUACCCAUUGCCAUCCUUAUGUGUAUGAGCCAUGUUUGUUCGUGGUCGGGAUGCGUCUACGUCCAGGUCAAAUCCAACUCGAACUGUACACUGACGGAGCUACAAACGAGACCCCUGAUUGCUGACGCGUCAGCAUCUAGUAGUACUCAUCGUUAUAAUCGAGAGGCAAAAUAUCCUCAAUACAAGGGGACCUUGGUUGAGCCACACUGCCGUGACACAUUCCCCACAACUAUAAUUUGUUAGCGAUCGACCACAUUAUUUUGUGCAUGUCGAAUCUUCUGAGGAAUAAACUCCUUGUCGGAACACAAAGCGUUUACGAGAUGCCGAGUGGGAGAGACCUUCACCCGAGAAGACUGCUAAUCUCUCUGAGGAUUCAGACUGCACAAUGACAAGAAAGUCCGUAUGUUGAAAAGCAAGAGCCAUACCUUGCAUGAUCGCAUGUAAAUUGACCUCCAGCGCCUCAUUGCAAUUAAAGAUAUAGCGCUAGGCUCAAAAUAUGACCGAACCAUCUUCUCUUUUCAGUAUCAUGCCUGCCGCAGCUGUGCCAUCUGCUGAAAACAAGGAACCAUCAACCGACAGCGCGACGUAGCCAGCCGAAGGCCGAUGCCAAUGUAGGCGUUGCGCAGACGCAACACUCUCUUGGAUGUAAACCAACUCACAUGCGCGCAUCUUGCCUUUAAAUAUUUCCUUCAAGCAAUACUUGUGAGAGUAAACAAGGGACAUCAAAUAGCUAUCAAGGAAUUCCACUGUAGCCACCACUGGAGGCGUCUCUUUGCCAUAGCACAAGUCAUUCUGCAGCUGCCAAAUGCACCAAAUCAACGUAAUCACCAUUUCCUGCAUGGUUGCUGUGCAAUUCAUUAGAACAUUCAGCAGCCAAUCAUUCUCACUGUCUACUAAGAGUACAUCACGGGGCAAGGUCCAUAUAGCACACAUGUGCUCCCAAAUAUUCCGAGCAUGGCAACAGGAAACCAAUGCAUGGAAGGAACUUUCAUCUUCGAUACCGCACAAUGUACAUAUGUGAUAACCCAUAAGUAUAGGGAAUCAAUUGUAGCCUUUUUUAUAAGUAAGAGUGUCGAACCCAACGAGGAGCUAAAGGUAGAAUUAAUAUUCUCUCAAGUUCUAUCGACCAUCGAUACAACUCCACACACGCUUAACAUUUGCUUUACCUAGAACAAGAAUAAAACUACUUUUUAGGUGUAAUAGGAUAAGUUUGUAAGAAUAAAGUAGAAGUACUUAGCGGGAUAAUAAAACUUUAGUUUGUUUUAGUAGAGAGCAUUUUGUAACACAAAGAGAAAGAUUGUCCAUAGGCAAUUGAAUGUAACACAAUAUAUACUUAUCAUAUGCAAUGAGGGAGAGGCAUGCUCUAACAUACUUUCCGUACUUGAAUCACAUGUUCUUAUUAUUGGAACUCUAGCAAGCAUCCGCAACUACUAAAGAUCAUUAAGGUAAAACCCAACCAUAUCAUUAAGUAACAAGUCCUAUUUACUCUCAUAUGCAACAACCCCCUUACUCGGGUUUAAGUUUAUGUCACUCUUGCAACCCACUAUAAGCGAAUCAUUAAUGUAUUGCAACACCCUACAACGCUAAUCCCACACGCUUGCGUGACAUGGAGGGCGUCAUAGGACGGCACCAUAUUAACAUUAAACUCAUAUCAUUCAAACCAUACCACAAUUAACCCGUAGGACAAAAGAAAUCUACUCACAUUAUAUGAUUGCCACACAUCAUUGGAUAAUAACAUAUAGUAUUAAGCACCAUUUUCAAGCACAUAAUUACAAUGGGAAUAGAGAGGGUACACCACUGCAUAGAGUGGGAGAGAGUUGGUGAUAACGGCAGCGAAGUUGUUGGUGUAGAUCGUCGUCAUGAUGGUUUCCCCGGCGGCGCUCCGGCGACACCGGAAGAUGAUGGGGGAGAGCCCCCUCCUUCUUCUUGCUUGCCCCCCCCCCCUAGAUGGGAGGAGGGUUUUCCCUCUAGUCCAUGGUUGCCAUGGCUCCGGGAGGGUAGGAGCCCCUCCGGGAUUGCAUCUCUCACUGUGUUUCUCUUCUAUUUUUUGUCUAUUUUCGGACGCCUUCGCCGUAUUUAUAUUCCCGAAGAUCCAUAACUCUAUUGGGAUGAAAUUUUGAGGGGAUUUUUGUGUGGAAAUUAUCUUUCUUGCGGCGAAAGAAGGGCUCCAACAAGGUAAGAUGGAGUCACAAGGCAACACGGCGUGCCCUAAGGUAUCGUCUUGCGUUGAUUCUUCUCCCCGAAAAUCACAAAUAUUCCACAAAAAACCUCCAUAAAAUUUUAUCACGUUUGUACUUCGUUUGAUAUGGAUAUUCUGCGAAACAAAAAAAACAUGCAAAAUAGGAACCGACACGAGGCACUGGAUCAAUAUGUUAGUCCCAAAAACAAUAUUAAAUGUUGCCAAAAGUAUAUAAUAGUUGUAGAACAUAGGCAUGAAAUAAUCAAAAAAUAUAUACGACAGAGACUUAUCAAGGUUCCACGUCUAGCCAGGUGCCGGUUUGCCUUGUCGAACGUGGCCCAGACACCGACAUCCACGUAGUGAUCUUCAUCUUUUGCGGUACAACUGCUUUCCAAAUACAGUUCCAUAACGAUCGCUCACCAUGCGGUGAGCUACUUGAUGCGCCCCCCGAGAACGACUCAUCAUGUUCAACUGUCGCUAAUCUAUAUGCACUCUUCAGACCGUCCAUAGUGGGAGUAACUUCAACAGUAACAUAUAUAGGGUUCAACUCAACAAAUUUACUUAUGUGGCAAUGAUUUAAUGAGGAGAGAGAUGAUUUUAGUAACAUAGCUAGUUAUUCACACUAUAGGUAACACCACACAUAUCAAGACAAGAUGAGUCUAUAAUCUAAUAAAAUAAGUGUUGUAUGACACCACACUUAUGUUACGCCCCAUUAUGGGUAGUCUCACUGUAAAAUUUCCAUAUUUCUCAGGAUUCCUAGCGAAGAAGUAGCUUUGUUGUCUUGGAGAUGUUCGAACUUUUAGAAUCUCCUGAACACCAUCACACAAAAAUGAAUAUUAAGCAUGUCAAUGUUCCAGCCUCCGUUAUCAUCCAAGAAAUCGGCCACCCGGUUAAAUCGACAAUUACGAUUUGGAGUAACUGGGCCAAAAGAGGAACCCCUAGGAAUCCAUGGAUCUCGCCAAGUUCUGAUCAUGGCGUGAUUCCCAACCCUCCAAAUAAUGCCCUUCUUCACCAGCUCCAAUCCCUGCUCAAUCCCCUUCCAAACAGUCGAUGAGUUACAUGAAAAAUAGUGUCCAAUAGGUUCCCAGUCGGACAAUAUUUUGCAUGGAGGAGAUGAGCACACAAACAGUUAGGUGCAUCCAGCAAACCGCCACGCUUGUUUAUCAAGUAAUGCUUGGUUGAACGCCCUCAUAUCACGGAAGCCCAUACCACCUUUAGACCUGGGUAAUAUCAUUUUAUCCCAACUAAGCCAGGCCAUCUUAUGCUUCCCCUUCUCGACCACCACCAAUAUUGCCUCAUCAAUCAUGUAAGAUCAGCACAUACCGAGGCAGGAAGACGGACCACACUCAUCACAUAUGAAGGGAUAGCUUGGGCCACCACCUUAAUAAGAAUCUUUUUAUUUCCAGAAGACAAAUAUUGUUCACUCCAAUCCAAUAGAGAUUUACUCAACACCACUUGAACGGUUUCAAAUCUACCCUUGUGCAUCCUCCCUUCCGACACUGCAAAGCCCAAGUACUUAGGCUCAAAAACUUCAUUUGUGACACCUAGAAUAUUUUUGAUCUCCAUGAAAAUCGCAGGUAAGGAAAUUUUCAGAAAAAAGAAUGGAACACUUGGUAGGGUUAAUGUGUUGGCCCAUGCUGAGGCAUAAGUGCUCAAAACAUCCUUAACCAAACAUGCCUGUUGCUCAGAAGAUUGAAAGAAUAACAAUGAGUCAUCCGCAAACAGUAGAUGUAAAAUAGUUCGCGCCCUUCGGCAUAUUUUCAAUCCUUCCUCCGCCAUGGACUUGCUGAUCAGUGCAGACAAUGCGUCAGCAACAAAGAGAAAUAAAAACAUGGACAAAGGAUCACCUUGGCGAAGUCCCUACGAAGGGGUAAAAGACUCUAGUAAUUUUCCAUUAAACUUUAUGCAAUAUUUAUGUGAAGUAACACAAGCCAUAAUACGAGAAAUCCAUGAUGUAGCAAAACCCCACUUACAUAGGGCCUACACAAGAAACACAUAGUCAGCGCGAUCAUAUGCCUUUAAUAGGUCAAGCUUGUAAGCACAUAAUGCCAGAUUCUCCUCUCUCAGAGAUAGAAUAUGAUGAAUACACUAAAAAACAAAGAUGGAAUUAUCUGAAAUAAGUCUACCUGGAAUGAAAGCACUUUGGUUUCCAGAGAUAACAUACGUCAUCGAAGGCCUUAGCCUAUUCACCAUGCAUUUUGACACAAUUUUGUAAACCACAUUGCAAAGACUGAUGGGACGAAAAUCAUUUAUGUCCUUAGGUUGUGGAACCUUUGGAAUUAGAACUAUCGUCGUAUCAUUCACUCCCAUAGGCAUAAUCCCUGUCACAAAAAACUCCUGAACAAUCGCCACAACAUCUGAUUUAUGCAUUGCCUAGUUAUGCUGAUAGAGACGAGCUGGAAAACCAUCCGUACCUGGAGCCUUAAUAGGGUCGAUCUGGAAAAGAGCAUCAGAGAUCUCCUUCUCUGAGAAAGGUGCGCACAAGACCUCGUUCAUCUGCAUUAUCUCAUUAGGCUCAAUACACUCUAAAACUACCUCUAGGGAGAGGGUUGGGUCGUUGGUACAAACCUCCUUGAAGUAGGAGGCCGCCAUUCGCUCCAUCUUCUAAGGAACAAAGCACCAUGUCCCAUCCAAGUUGCCCAAGCACCGAAUAUAAUUCCUCGCUCGCCGAACAACAUGACAGUGGGGUAUUUGGUAUUUCACUCCCCUUCUUUCAGCCAUGUGAUACGUGAGCAUUGCAACCAUAACAUUUCCUCACGGUAUAAUAACUCAUCAAGUUGGUUUAUCUUUUUCUGCAUACUCAUACGAUCUGCUCCAUUAAACUUUGUUGUCUCUAGCUCACCACAGAGCUUCUCUAUGUCAUUAUUGAUAGGAGCAAAAUUCUUUCGGCUCCAAUCCUUCAAACUAUGCAUAAGUGCUCACAACGACUCCGCUACAGAGGAGUAUAGUGGUAUCCCUAGCCCACCGGGGUUCAAGUCCUGAUACUCGCAUUUAUCCUAGAUAUAUUUCAGGAUUUCCGACGAUGCGCGUUCAGUGAGAUGUUCCCAUUGACUACGAGGCGUCUAUGAUGACUUUGUAAAAUCUCAAGAUAAUAUGCGACUUAGUCUCCCGGAUGUUCUCAUAACGGUAGAAUGUGUGCAUGCGCGUUCAUAGGGGUGAGUCUAUGCGCAUAUAUAUGAGCGCUUAUGUUGUACUGUGUUAAAACAAGUACUCAUCGCCAACCGACUAUAGCAGUACCAUAGCACGCGUUUUUAGCGCCGGUGGUUCAACCUGUCGAUUGUACAAUGCGCGGAUCAUUCCGUGCUCGGGCCUGCACUGAUCGCACAUGCUCAUCAGAGAGUACAAUACCAUAGGAUCCACAUCAUGGUUUCCCAACAUUCAAAUUCUACGGUCUCAUCGAUUAUUUCGAUUAUUUCCUACUAUAUGUGGGCUUGAGAAAUAGCGUUUACAGGGGCCUUCGCACCCCACACACAGAGUAGUAUAUCAUGUUCUUUCACAUGUUUUACCAUUAAAAUAAAUCAUUUGGUUCGAUCGAUCACAAGCCCCUAAUGCUGAAUUGCAAAGUGACUAAACAUGCAACAAAUCACCAAACUCCAAUUUAUUAUUACACACCAAAGGCGCACAACAGUUUAACUGAAGAAUGAUACUAAAAAUUAAGUCUGAUAGGUGGAUCAUCAAAGGAGAAUCAACGUAUCCAAGAGCAAGGCCAACAUAGGAGUGGUGCACCACGCAAGGGACAUAGCCAGUCGAGGAAAUUCGGCCAGUGAUCCUCAGAAGAACCCCCAAAUGAUGCCACCCCCACGCUGCACGGUAGGCUUCACCUGCCACCUACUCCAUGACUUUUGCUCCUAGCGUCAACACCCUUUGAU
RNAcentral lists this long non-coding RNA (27332 nucleotides) under Triticum aestivum (bread wheat). Its description in RNAcentral is "long non-coding RNA (TAES_LNC006317)". Lineage: Eukaryota; Viridiplantae; Streptophyta; Magnoliopsida; Poales; Poaceae. The record is from RNAcentral.